Molecule: ribosomal RNA, 497 nt
Filed under: uncultured bacterium
Lineage: Bacteria
Description: partial 16S ribosomal RNA
Rfam family: Bacterial small subunit ribosomal RNA
Source: RNAcentral
GAUGAACGCUGGCGGCGUGCCUAAUACAUGCAAGUCGAGCGAACGGACGAGAAGCUUGCGUCUCUGAUGUUAGCGGCGGACGGGUGAGUAACACGUGGAUAACCUACCUAUAAUACUGGGAUAACUUCGGGAAACCGGAGCUAAUACCGGAUAAUAUUUUGAACCGCAUGGUUCAAAAGUGAAAGACGGUCUUGCUGUCACUUAUAGAUGGAUCCGCGCUGCAUUAGCUAGUUGGUAAGGUAACGGCUUACCAAGGCAACGAUGCAUAGCCGACCUGAGAGGGUGAUCGGCCACACUGGAACUGAGACACGGUCCAGACUCCUACGGGAGGCAGCAGUAGGGAAUCUUCCGCAAUGGGCGAAAGCCUGACGGAGCAACGCCGCGUGAGUGAUGAAGGUCUUCGGAUCGUAAAACUCUGUUAUUAGGGAAGAACAUAUGUGUAAGUAACUGUGCACAUCUUGACGGUACCUAAUCAGAAAGCCACGGCUAACUACGUG